RNAcentral lists this non-coding RNA (31 nucleotides) under Mus musculus (house mouse). The record is from RNAcentral. Lineage: Eukaryota; Metazoa; Chordata; Mammalia; Rodentia; Muridae.
UGCAAAGGUUGAAGAGACCAUCUUGUGAUGC